AUUUGGUGACUGUCUCGGGACAGAAAAGACAAAGGCGGUAGGAAAGAGCGACACGUCUCUUUAUCUCUUGUUUUGGAAGUAUAAAUUCACUCCAAAACUAUUGGAUAUUUAUUUCUAUGUCUCCGUCUUUCUAACCAAACAUGUUUCUAUUCCCACAAUCUUUGUCUCUUCUGUUCCUGAACGGUAACCGAAC
Molecule: microRNA precursor, 193 nt
Filed under: Populus trichocarpa (black cottonwood)
Lineage: Eukaryota; Viridiplantae; Streptophyta; Magnoliopsida; Malpighiales; Salicaceae
Description: miR7817b stem-loop (ptc-MIR7817b)
Source: miRBase by way of RNAcentral